GACAGAGGCCUCAAGCGUUAGGCGGAAUCACUGGGCUUAAAGCGUGUGUAGGCGGAUCGUUAAGUGUCUUGUGAAAUCCCACGGCUCACCCGUGGAACUUCUGGGCAUACUGGCGAUCUUGGGCCAACUAGGGGCAGCCGGAACAAGCGGUGGAGCGGUGAAAUGCGUAGAUAUCGCUUGGAACGCCGAAGGUGAAAACAGGCUGCUGGGGUUGUGCCGACGCUGAGACACGAAAGCCAGGGGAGCAAACGGG
This 253-nucleotide ribosomal RNA is filed under the name uncultured bacterium. RNAcentral describes it as "partial 16S ribosomal RNA". It matches the Rfam family "Bacterial small subunit ribosomal RNA", at positions 524 to 776 of the family's 1533-position model. The record is from RNAcentral.